Molecule: transfer RNA, 115 nt
Filed under: Alcanivoracaceae bacterium
Lineage: Bacteria; Pseudomonadati; Pseudomonadota; Gammaproteobacteria; Oceanospirillales; Alcanivoracaceae
Description: tRNA-Arg
Rfam family: tRNA
About the family: Transfer RNA (tRNA) molecules are approximately 80 nucleotides in length. Their secondary structure includes four short double-helical elements and three loops (D, anti-codon, and T loops).
Source: RNAcentral
GAGGAAGUAGCUCAGUUUGGUAGAGCAAUGGUUUACUCUUCGCCCUAUGGCAAAAAGAGUUCCUAUUUCAUUUCUAAUGCAUGUGUCGCAGGUUCGAAUCCUGUCUUCCUCACCA